This is a long non-coding RNA of Tympanuchus pallidicinctus (lesser prairie-chicken), 593 nucleotides long. RefSeq lists it as uncharacterized. The record is from RefSeq and is a predicted model, not a curated record. Lineage: Eukaryota; Metazoa; Chordata; Aves; Galliformes; Phasianidae. The transcript has 2 exons.
CCAGCUGGCAGCACUUACAAUAGCAGCACAGAGUGCAGGGCAGCUCUUGCCAGGGGUUUAGUCACCAGCAGACAUGCCGUCUAUAAGCUCCCUGGGCAAACACUCUGUUGCUGGGGUGGGCUGGCACACACACUGCUGCAUCUUCACAGCUCUUGCUACCAGACCUGGGAGCUCUGGGCACACCUCCAGUGCACUCUGAAACCCUACGAAGGCCUCAGUUUCUUGCAAUGCUUUUGCUUUGUCCCCGAGCAGCUCCUGCUUCAGGUGGUGUUACACAGCUGCUGGUUCAGCAAGUUCACUCCUGCAGGAAAGCUACUAAGGGCUGCCUUUUGGGCUAUUGAAUCCUCUGCAGACUACUGUUUGGAAGCAGUUUUUCCUGGCCUGCAUCUCUACAAGUGAGACACGCCGGCCAUUGGUGCCUGGCCAGGAGGAGCCACAAUGUCCUGGAGCCUCUCUCCAUGGAUGGUGAAAUCUUGGGGAGUAAAGUCCUAAAAGAACAAAGCUUAACUCUGCAGUAAGAACUAUGCUUUAAACAGGGUGAGUUGUUUGUGCUUAUUAGUAAUUGACACUUUCUGUCAUUUCUUUCAACAGUC